This 116-nucleotide ribosomal RNA is filed under the name Deltaproteobacteria bacterium RIFOXYA12_FULL_61_11. Lineage: Bacteria; Deltaproteobacteria. The record is from RNAcentral.
GAUGGUGACGAUAGAGAGGAGGAAACACCUGUAACCAUCUCGAACACAGAAGUUAAGCUCCUUCUCGCCGAUGGUACUGCAUGUGUAGACGUGUGGGAGAGUAGGUAUCGCCAUCC